CUCAUGAUGGCCGAGAACUCAAGGCAUUAGGCUUUUAACUUAACCACAGUAUACAACUUCAUGGGC
This 66-nucleotide transfer RNA is filed under the name Parvasolenaia rivularis. RNAcentral's name for it is "Solenaia rivularis tRNA-Lys". The record is from RNAcentral. Lineage: Eukaryota; Metazoa; Mollusca; Bivalvia; Unionida; Unionidae.